GAGUUUGAUCGUGGCUCAGGAUGAACGCUGGCGGCGUGCCUAAUACAUGCAAGUAGAACGCUGAAGCUUGGUGCUUGCACCGAGCGGAUGAGUUGCGAACGGGUGAGUAACGCGUAGGUAACCUGCCUGGGUAGCGGGGAUAACUAUUGGAACGAUAGCUAAUACCGCAUAACAGUAGAUAUUGCAUGAUAUCUGCUUGAAAGGUGCAAUUGCAUCACUACCAGAUGGACCUGCGUUGUAUUAGCUAGUUGGUGAGGUAACGGCUCACCAAGGCGACGAUACAUAGCCGACCUGAGAGGGUGAUCGGCCACACUGGGACUGAGACACGGCCCAGACUCCUACGGGAGGCAGCAGUAGGGAAGUCUUCGGCAAUGGGGGAACCCGUGACCGAGCAACGCCGCGUGAGUGAAGAAGGUUUUCGGAUCGUAAAGCUCUGUUGUAAGAGAAGAACGAGUGUGAGAGUGGAAAGUUCACACUGUGACGGUAUCUUACCAGAAAGGGA
RNAcentral lists this ribosomal RNA (502 nucleotides) under uncultured microorganism. RNAcentral describes it as "bacterial SSU rRNA". It matches the Rfam family "Bacterial small subunit ribosomal RNA", at positions 9 to 493 of the family's 1533-position model. The record is from RNAcentral.